CAGCCGCCACGGGAAUACAGAGGGUGCGAGCGUUAAUCGGAUUUACUGGGCGUAAAGCGUGCGUAGGCGGCUUUUUAAGUCGGAUGUGAAAUCCCUGAGCUUAACUUAGGAAUUGCAUUCGAUACUGGGAAGCUAGAGUAUGGGAGAGGAUGGUAGAAUUCCAGGUGUAGCGGUGAAAUGCGUAGAGAUCUGGAGGAAUACCGAUGGCGAAGGCAGCCAUCUGGCCUAAUACUGACGCUGAGGUACGAAAGCAUGGGGAGCAAACAGGAUUAGAUACCCCAGUAGUCCCUGUCUCUUAUAC
Molecule: ribosomal RNA, 301 nt
Filed under: uncultured bacterium
Lineage: Bacteria
Description: partial 16S ribosomal RNA
Rfam family: Bacterial small subunit ribosomal RNA
Source: RNAcentral